Molecule: long non-coding RNA, 396 nt
Organism: Paramormyrops kingsleyae
Lineage: Eukaryota; Metazoa; Chordata; Actinopteri; Osteoglossiformes; Mormyridae
Source: RefSeq, a predicted model, not a curated record
GUUGACUAAGAGGAACUCUGGCAGCUAAGGACCUGAACUCCUGAAGGUAGCUGGUUUACGUCCCAGGAGGGGUUCCCUUGCUGAGCAUAUUCCUCUAGCCCAGUUACACCUGUGUGCCCCGGACUUGCCGCUUUUGCUGACGGACUCAUUUCUCCCCUCCUCUUACGAUUUCUGAGGAUUUUCUGGGUUUUCCUUCCGUGACGUGAUGAUGACAUUGGACUACGAUUUGGUGCUGACAUUUUGGAUUCAUCUGUCUGUCCCAAGGACUCCGACAAGCUCCAUUCAGUUUGCCUCUGCAUGUCUAUCUGAAAACACCCCCUUCCCCUCCACAUUUUCAUUUGAUUUUUUUUUCCUGUGCAAACCCUAUCUAAUCUCUAUUCCUGUUUAUUGAUGUUA